This 367-nucleotide unclassified non-coding RNA is filed under the name uncultured Lophiostoma. Its description in RNAcentral is "sequence contains ITS2". The stretch from base 1 to 154 matches the Rfam family "5.8S ribosomal RNA". The record is from RNAcentral. Lineage: Eukaryota; Fungi; Ascomycota; Dothideomycetes; Pleosporales; Lophiostomataceae.
AACUUUUAACAAUGGAUCACUUGGUUCUGGCAUCGAUGAAGAACGCAGCAAAAUGCGAUAAGUAGUGUGAAUUGCAGAAUUCAGUGAAUCAUCGAAUCUUUGAACGCACAUUGCGCCCUUUGGUAUUCCUUAGGGCAUGCCUGUUCGAGCGUCAUUUACACCCUCAAGCACAGCUUGGUGUUGGGCGUCUGUCCCGCUUCGGCGCGGACUCGCCUCAAAACGAUUGGCAGCCACUUCAGCGGCUUUGAGCGCAGCAGAAUUGCGUCUCUCGUCGCGGCGGAUGGCACCCAUCAAGCUACAUUUAUAUCUUGACCUCGGAUCAGGUAGGGAUACCCGCUGAACUUAAGCAUAUCAAUAAGCGGAGGCU